CAUUGCCUCACACACCGAGCUUCGAGCAGCGAGCACCGAGCACUGCCAUCUACUCCACACACCCACGUUAUUGUGGCUGUAACAUAUUUACUUACUGUACGGUUCCCUGUUGCUCACGUGUUGCUAAUCGGAGGGGCGUUACAUGGCUGGGCUCUCGGAAUUUCCACGAGCAUAAACUACAGAGACAUUUGCAGUGUGACGAAAGGUUUGCUUUUCAUACAAACAGAAACGAAACAGCAUAACAAAAGGCAAACACUUGUAGAUUGCCUUCAUGUUUGCCUCUCUUCGAGGCACAGCGAGAAGGAAAACCCAUCGGAUUAGUGUGGUUACCUAACCCCCAACUUGGUUGCUGGUUAAAGUUUAAUCACCAUUUGGAAUGGGUAACAAUACGAUUUUUACCCGGAAGAUGCACAGUGUUGCGAGAGUGCAAGAGAAAUAUCCCAAGCCAAAUGUUUACCCAAAUGCCAAAGCUUCUGCUACGGUGGCUGGGGCCACGCAUCAAACGCUUAUGAUAACCACAAAUAAUCGUGAGGCAAAUUUCAUGCCUUUUGUGUGCCUUCACACACAGGUGCAAUUCACACCUGUAAUUAGGACGGACAUUGACGAAAUCACCAGACCAUGGAAGGGCCACAGCCAGUAAAUUGGUGCAGCAAGUGGGGGCUCUAAUCGUGUUAUAUCUUAAUUGGAAGCUUUCAAGUGGGGCUGCAAAACAUUCUGGGGACUUAUCGCCACAUCAGAAUCAACAAUAAACAACAUGAGAUCGCGUGAAAUGACAGAAAAUAAUUCUUAUCAUCUGGCGAAAUUUUAAUUUCAAAGUCGAGGUGAAAUCCAAAAGAAAAUAAAAUAAAAAUCGCUGAUAAGAACACUACAACAAAAAACAUAAUAAAAAGUAGAAAUAAAAGCACACAGAAAUAUUCAAGUGGAACGGGU
Molecule: long non-coding RNA, 930 nt
Filed under: Drosophila guanche
Lineage: Eukaryota; Metazoa; Arthropoda; Insecta; Diptera; Drosophilidae
Source: RNAcentral